GCUCCAUUGGCCCAGUGGAUAAGGCGUCUGACUUCUAAUCAGAAGAUCCCCGGUUCGACCCCGGGAUGGAGCU
Non-coding RNA from Rhabditophanes sp. KR3021, 73 nucleotides. The record is from Rfam. NCBI's taxonomy places the organism in Eukaryota, Metazoa, Nematoda, Chromadorea, Rhabditida, Alloionematidae.